Molecule: ribosomal RNA, 775 nt
Filed under: uncultured Neocallimastigales
Lineage: Eukaryota; Fungi; Neocallimastigomycota; Neocallimastigomycetes; Neocallimastigales
Description: partial large subunit ribosomal RNA
Rfam family: Eukaryotic large subunit ribosomal RNA
Source: RNAcentral
UCAGACGAUGCGUCAUGCAUAUCAAUAAGCGGAGGAAAAGAAACUAACAAGGAUUCCCCUAGUAACGGCGAGUGAAGCGGGAAGAGCUCAAAUUUGAAAUCUUAAAGGGUUUCCCUUUACGAAUUGUAGUUUAAAGAAGUGUUUUCUGUUGAGGUUUUGGUAAAAGUUCUUUGGAAUAGGACAUCAUAGAGGGUGAGAAUCCCGUAUUUGACCUUUACUUUCAACUUUGUGAUACACUUUCAAAGAGUCGGAUUGUUUGGGAAUGCAGUCCAAAAUGGGUGGUAAAUUUCAUCUAAAGCUAAAUAUUGGCGAGAGACCGAUAGCGAACAAGUACCGUGAGGGAAAGAUGAAAAGAACUUUGAAAAGAGAGUUAAACAGUACGUGAAAUUGUCAAAAGGGAAGCGUUUGACACCAGUGUUGUUUUUCUGAAAAUCAAUUAAAGAACUGUUUAUGCUAAGCUGUUUUAGACUUUAUCAGCUAUCUGUUUAGUUUUGAGCUUUUCUUUAAUGCACUUUUCAGUUAACAAGUCAACAUCAAUUUCUUUUGCUGUAAAAAAGCUUGAGGAAGGUGGCUUGAGAUUCGUCUUAAGUGUUUAUAGCCUCUUGCCUAUGCAGUCGGAGAGAUUGAGGUCUGCAGCGUAGAUCCUUCGGGGCUAAAUGCAUUUGUGCUAAGUUAUAGCAUUUUAUAGACAACUUGUUGACUAUGAUUUGUCUUGUAGCUUACUCGCUUAUGUUAUUUUACCUACGCUUAGGAUGUUGAAUCUGUGCGAGACUAC